CAGCCGCCGCGGUAAUACGGAGGGUGCAAGCGUUAAUCGGAAUUACUGGGGGUAAAGCGUGCGUAGGCGGUUUGUUAAGUCUGUUGUGAAAUCCCCGGGCUCAACCUGGGAAUGGCAAUGGAUACUGGCAAGCUAGAGUGUGUCAGAGGAUGGUGGAAUUCCCGGUGUAGCGGUGAAAUGCGUAGAGAUCGGGAGGAACAUCAGUGGCGAAGGCGGCCAUCUGGGACAACACUGACGCUCAGGUGCGAAAGCGUGGGGAGCAAACAGGAUUAGAUACCCGGGUAGUCCCUGUCUCUUAUAU
This 301-nucleotide ribosomal RNA is filed under the name uncultured bacterium. RNAcentral describes it as "partial 16S ribosomal RNA". It matches the Rfam family "Bacterial small subunit ribosomal RNA", at positions 509 to 809 of the family's 1533-position model. The record is from RNAcentral.